UCUGGUCUCCAAGAAGGGGGUGAUAUCAUUGGAUCCGUGGAGAGUAUUAGAAUAGUAGUUCUGGUGCAUCUAAUGUGGGACACCAGCCUGUCCAGAAAUUUUACAUGAUUGUAGUUGUUGUAGAUUCAUCAAAUCCAAGCUCUGGCACACUUUAUUAUUGGACAGGAAGAACAUACACACUGCCGGUUCAAAGUAUUCAAACAAAUUAGUUCACCUGGUAUUCAACAAUCCGAGGGAGCAGCCUUUUACCAUUGAGUAGAUAAAUGAAGUUCGAGAAAAGUUGGCAAAUUUCAU
This is a long non-coding RNA of Spinacia oleracea (spinach), 294 nucleotides long. RefSeq lists it as uncharacterized. The transcript is spliced from 3 exons. The record is from RefSeq and is a predicted model, not a curated record. NCBI's taxonomy places the organism in Eukaryota, Viridiplantae, Streptophyta, Magnoliopsida, Caryophyllales, Amaranthaceae.